Molecule: long non-coding RNA, 641 nt
Organism: Hemibagrus wyckioides
Lineage: Eukaryota; Metazoa; Chordata; Actinopteri; Siluriformes; Bagridae
Exons: 3
Source: RefSeq, a predicted model, not a curated record
UGAGAGAUGGACUGCAUUAGCAAAGGCUUGCACUACCAUUUGCAGAGGGAUGUUAAUUGAUGGGUAUCCAGACAGAAGGAAACAAUCCACCAGGUUUUUGGCUUUUCCAGAACCUUUAACUUAUGACUUCAUUAGUGAGAUCCAUCACCUCAGUUUAUAAGGAUAUGGUUCACCUAAGAAGUUAUGGAGCCACAAGGGUUUAGAGCUAUGAGGCUGUUGAAGCAAACAACAUACAGAGACUGUGCCGGCUCCGGUGGCAUCCGGAGAUGGACCAGCUCCAGCCGGGUUCUGCUUUGUGAGGUUCGGGGUAUUCAAGCAGCGCCAUGGACAACAACCUCCUUAUUGAUUUACAUAACACUCUACACAUGCUGUAUCUGCAUCACACAAUUGUCACCCAAAUGAGGAUGGGUUCCCUUUUGAGUCUGGUUCCUCUCAAGGUUUCUUUCUCUUACCAUCUAAGGGAGUUUUUCCUUGCCACAAUCGCCUCAGUCACCUCAGGCUUGCUUACUUGGGAUAUCAUCUAGGACUGUUUGUCUGUUUAUAUGUUUGUUGUUUUCUUAUGUUGUUUCUCAUGUAAAGCUGCUUUGAGACAAUGCUCUUUGUUAAAAGCGCUAUAUAAAAAUAAAUUGAAUUGAAUUGAA